Molecule: long non-coding RNA, 2065 nt
Filed under: Apis mellifera (honey bee)
Lineage: Eukaryota; Metazoa; Arthropoda; Insecta; Hymenoptera; Apidae
Description: uncharacterized LOC113218528, transcript variant X2
Source: RNAcentral
UUAAUCAGAUAUCAAAUAGAAUUCUUAAUUUUUUAAUUUCCAAUCAAUCGUUUAUCAAAAACGUGAUCGCGAUUACAUUUCGCAAGUAUAACGGAUAUAUAUAGGCAGUGGUAGUUUAACAUACUACAUUCUCAUUUUUAACAACUGAAAACACGUUGGUAGUUAGGACAAAUUCCUGACGAUGGCGCGCUAAGAUUAUUCGAUCGCGGGAUAUCUUUACGACAGUAUAUAAAUCUUUUGCUCCUGUUGAAUCACUGCGUCAUAGUCGCGAUUAAUUUCGAAUCAGUGAGGACGUUGCAAAUCGUUUAAAUCUUCAUAAAACACGCUUUUUGAAUUUAUACGAGGCAAUGAAUCAUUCGUUGACAGAGCAAAACCGCGAUGAUGACUCGUUGAAAACCAUUCAGAAUUCAAGGUAGACAUUUUGGAAGGAAAGAAGCAUGCCUGGCGAAAAUGACGUUUCCAACAAUCUGCUAUAUUUUUCAUAUCAGAGCGUCGUGCCUGUAAAAAAAAAAUUUAAGAAACACGAAAUGUAACGAAACGAAAGAAUGAAUUCCUGCUGCGUUUCCUCCUAGCAAGAGAAGAACAGUAACAGACGCACAGUCUAUUACCUGAACCACCAAGCCAUAGAAUAAGUAAAGGGGAAAAAGUUGGCAUGAAAAAAAAUUCUUCCGCAUCGAGCGGCUGUUGGCCGGGUUGGCGUCCUUCCUGGAGAACGAGCAAAAAAAAAAAUUGGCCAGCCCUUUUUUUUAUACCUCCACUAUUGGCCAUUUGACCGGCAAGGAUACCGUUGCUUCGCUCCAAAGAUACCGCUAGAUUGCUUUCCUGUUAGAAAACGAGAUCAUGGCCAUCUUUCACGAUACAAGGCGUUGCAACCAUCGAUGGAAGGCUUCCUCGUUUUCCUCUCCAUGCAAAAAAAAAAAGAACUCGCAGAAAGGGUAGUAAAAGGUUUGGAAAAAAAUUGUCUUUUUUCACGAUAUAGCAUACACUUACUUUGGAUGAACUAUUUCCAGGUGUGUUAAUAUUGGAUGGAGUUUGGAAAAGAGAUGUGAAAGGAUUGAUGGAAUAUUUAUGUUGUAUCUGAUGAUUGAAGAGAUAUGAAGCUAUAGAAUAAUGUAUUGAUUGAGAGGUAGAAUGAAUCUUCUGCUGGAUAUGAAAAUUAGAAUAAUAAAUGGAACUAUAGAAUAAUGUAUUGAUUGAGAGGUAGAAUGAAUCUUCUGCUGGAUAUGAAAAUUAAAAUAAUAAAUGAAACUAUAGAAUAAUGUAUUGAUAGAGAAUGAAUCUUCUGGUGGAUAUGAAAAUUAGGAUCAAGGAUAGAUAUAUGUGGAUUAGGCGAAGAAGGAGAAUAUGAAAAAGGAGAUUAUUGAGAUAUUUCUUGUUAAUAUGGAAAUUUUAUUAUUGAUAGUGAAAAUAUCAUUGAAAUAGGCAAUGUUUUUGCGCGUAAAAGAGAGAUAUAGGUGGCAUAAUCAGAUACAAAUUUAGAUAAUAUGUGUAGGUAUACAGGAAAUUUCAAAUAAAAUGAUAUUGGCUUUCGUUAUGGCGUAUCUUGCGUUGUACAUAAGGAUAUGAGCGUUGUAAUUAAAGAAUACGUUUAUGAAAUUAUUUGCAAAUACAGCCAGUAGGCAUAAUCAAGUCUAUGUUUGUUAUUACUCGCUGUACAUUCUUGUUCAAAAGUCGCUUAAAGUAAUAUUUUGUGCGUUUGUCUCAAAAUUGUAAGAAAUUAAAAUAUACAAAAGGACGUUUAAUCUUUCCAAUAUGAUUCUGAAAUUGAUUGAUACAAAAUUGAAUGUAUCAAAAUAUGAAAAAUUUGUUGAAUGAAAUUGUGUCUUUCAAAUACAUGCAUUUUUAAGAGACUUUUGACCAAUAAUGUAUUACAAAAAAAAAUUGCAUGUGCGCGCAAAUACAUAUAUUAUAAUAUAUAUUUUUUGCUGUUGUAAAUUAUUCUUCCGCUUUGUGCAUGUGUAUGAAUAAUCAUUACAGAUAAUUAUCUUCACCUGCAGACAUAACCGUCCAACCGUUCUCAAGUGUAAUUAUUAGACUGAUAGGAUAUCUAGAAUCGAAAUUUCAA